AGGUUUCAAGCCCCAAACGGGGUCUGAGCUUUGCCAGUCGAUCUCGGUUUCUCCAGUGUAAUUUAAUAUUGACGAAAGUUAUCCAACGGAGGUCAAACUUCUGCCGCACAACGAAAAUUUGCGAUCAACCUUAUUUUUGACCUUGGCAGAGGACAUACAGUUGCCUCUGAAAUUCUAUGUCGUGGCCUGGAUAGGCACAGACAUAUCCAUAUCGGAUGUCUUCAAGGAAAAGGAUUGACACACACACACACACACUGAAUUCAACCGUAGCUACUAUUGCUAUUAUUAUUAUUUUUUUUUGCAUUUAAAUUUUGUACAUUAUAAUCUAAUCUAGGACACAUCAAUGCAUGCAGGCCUGUUGCAGCGAUGGAAAACCAAACGUUAGCACCAGAAUCUCUUGUAUGUGUUUAGCUGGAACAACUGAAAGAUCCCCCCCAUCCGACGAGCCCUAGCCGAAAGAUCCCACACAGUGCUAACCAUAACAUCUAUGCAAGUUGUCUAGUUUGUGGAAUGCGUCUCGAAAGCUACCACACCAGAACACCGGGACACAUUACAAAAGUGGCGCCCAACGUGGGGCACGAUACAACAACAACAGUA
Drosophila miranda is the source of this 597-nucleotide long non-coding RNA. RefSeq lists it as uncharacterized. The record is from RefSeq and is a predicted model, not a curated record. Lineage: Eukaryota; Metazoa; Arthropoda; Insecta; Diptera; Drosophilidae. The transcript is spliced from 3 exons.